This 324-nucleotide RNase P RNA is filed under the name Betaproteobacteria bacterium SCN2. Its description in RNAcentral is "Bacterial RNase P class A". It matches the Rfam family "Bacterial RNase P class A". From Rfam's summary of the family: Ribonuclease P (RNase P) is a ubiquitous endoribonuclease, found in archaea, bacteria and eukarya as well as chloroplasts and mitochondria. The record is from Rfam by way of RNAcentral. Lineage: Bacteria; Pseudomonadati; Pseudomonadota; Betaproteobacteria.
AGGGUUGGCCGGACAGCCGCUGCGUGCUUCGGCACGGGGAGGAAAGUCCGGGCUCCACAGGGCAGGAUGCCGGCUAACGGCCGGACGCCGCAAGGCGAGGAACAGGGCCACAGAGACGAGUAAAUCCCAAGGGGCGCAAGCCCUGCGGGGUGGACGUGAAACGCGGUAACCUCCAUCCGGAGCAACACCAAAUAGGCAGACGAUGAAGCGGCUCGCCGAGUCUGCGGGUAGGUGGCUUGAGUCCGUCAGCAAUGACGGACCUAGAGGAAUGGCUGUCAUGGGGGCGACCCCUUACAGAACCCGGCUUACAGGCCAACCCAUUGU